This 986-nucleotide unclassified non-coding RNA is filed under the name Hevea brasiliensis (rubber tree). The record is from RNAcentral. Lineage: Eukaryota; Viridiplantae; Streptophyta; Magnoliopsida; Malpighiales; Euphorbiaceae.
AUAUAUUUGAGUAAAUAGUUGAUAAAUUAUUUUGCCCCUUCAAAUACUAUAUCUAGCUUCGCCACUGAUUGUAGUCAGUUGUGCAAAGCAUUGAGCUGCCAUAUCAUCACACUCUGUCACCAUAAGUGGCAGAAAUCAAUCCAUAUCAUCUUCGCCAUUUAAAGCUGAGGACAUUGCACCUUUUUCUCUAGUCAAGAAAUUCAACGAGCCUGUUUGGUACAAAUCAUUCUAAACUGAAAUAUAUCUUGAGUUUUACCCAAAAAUGGAGCUUGACAUGGUUUGGAUAUGGGUAUUAUAGAUUAGUGAAUGCAUUGUCAUGGAAUAUUGAGCAUAUUGAAGUUGUAAGAGAAAAGAAAACUAGGGGUAGACCUAUAUCAUGGGGAGUUUUAACUUAAUUUGAAUUUUUAACUAAUUCCCAUACUAGUUGAACUUGUACCAUAUGAGUGAUUGCAAUAUAAGAAUGCUACACCUCUUUGUUCGUGACUGUGGUGCAUACUAGGUGAAAAUUUGACUGGAUAUCAUAGCAUUAUAGUCUGGUCAUUACCUAGGUUCUCUUGGGAUGUUAUUUUUGGAUUUGCUAAAACUCUUUUUAGAAGUGUAAAAGAUCUUUAAUCCAUCAGUAACGUACUAAUUUUAUAUAAGUAAUCUAUAUUUUACGCAUGUGCUCAAGUGAGAGGAAGGGAAGAGGGUAAGUGGGUAAGAAGGGAGACCUUUCGAGUUUUGAGGAAAGUGAUAUGACCUUACCUUCUUGUGUCUUAUUGCGAAUGGAUGAUGGGUUUCUACACUUUCCAAGCAAUAACUUAUUGUGUACCCAUGCUGUUUCUUACUAAUUCAGAAUGGUGAAUAGCACUCUGCUUUCUUGAUGUGAAAGCAUCUUCUAAUUGUGUGCCCAUCUCACCAUUUUCUUACAACAGUUCUUUUGCAUUGAAGGUCAUUGAACACAAACCAUAUGACCACAAGGCUGAUGUUUUUAGUUUUGGGAUUGU